Molecule: ribosomal RNA, 598 nt
Filed under: Agromyces sp. ACT-77
Lineage: Bacteria; Bacillati; Actinomycetota; Actinomycetes; Micrococcales; Microbacteriaceae
Description: bacterial SSU rRNA
Rfam family: Bacterial small subunit ribosomal RNA
Source: RNAcentral
GCGUCGACGGGUAGCCGGCCUGAGAGGGUGACCGGCCACACUGGGACUGAGACACGGCCCAGACUCCUACGGGAGGCAGCAGUGGGGAAUAUUGCACAAUGGGCGCAAGCCUGAUGCAGCAACGCCGCGUGCGGGAUGACGGCCUUCGGGUUGUAAACCGCUUUUAGUAAGGAAGAAGGGGAGCUUGCUCCUUGACGGUACUUGCAGAAAAAGGACCGGCUAACUACGUGCCAGCAGCCGCGGUAAUACGUAGGGUCCGAGCGUUGUCCGGAAUUAUUGGGCGUAAAGAGCUCGUAGGCGGUUUGUCGCGUCUGCUGUGAAAUCCCGAGGCUCAACCUCGGGUCUGCAGUGGGUACGGGCAGACUGGAGUGCGGUAGGGGAGAAUGGAAUUCCUGGUGUAGCGGUGGAAUGCGCAGAUAUCAGGAGGAACACCGAUGGCGAAGGCAGUUCUCUGGGCCGUAACUGACGCUGAGGAGCGAAAGCGUGGGGAGCGAACAGGAUUAGAUACCCUGGUAGUCCACGCCGUAAACGUUGGGCGCUAGAUGUGGGGACCUUUCCACGGUUUCCGUGUCGUAGCUAACGCAUUAAGCGCCCCGCC